GGAGAGUACACUCUUAAGAAAAAAGGUUCUUCAAAGGUUCUGAAACGAUGGUAAAGGUUCUAUAUAGAACCAUAGCUUACUGAAGAACCAUUUUUUGCUGAAAUGGUUCUUUGUCUUGGCAAAAGGGUUCUUUAUUUCCCUCCUUUUUUGAUUUUAAAUUUAGUCAGUUAUUUUCAAGCUGCCUCCUGAUUAUUUUCACCUGUAAAAGCUCUGAAUCAUCAGUCCUGCUGAACUGCCUGCAGACUAACAUCCCAAACAGGUAAGAGAGGAAAAUAAUCAUCAUUUACUGUUAAAAACAUUUUGAAAAUUGAAGUUUUGUGUGUUCUUAUUGUAAUUUAUUUAUUUUAUAACAGGUAAACUUUAUACUGUAAGCUUCAUUCCCUUUAAAGCAGAGUUUUUGUAUGUGAGGUAAUCUUACUGGGAGUGAAGGCAGUGCGUAUGACAGCUUAAUAUGAGACACAUCCUGUAUUUAAAGGUCAACUUUAUACUGUAAGCUUCAUUCCAUUUAUAACAGAGUUUUUAUAUGUGAGGUAAUCUUGCUGGGAGUGAAGGCAGUGCGUAUGACCACUUGAUAUGAGAGACACAUCCUGUUUUUAAAGGUGAUGUAUGCAUGUUACUUUCAAUCCUGGCAUUAAAAUAAUAAUAUUUACUGUUUAAACAUUUUGUAAAUUGAGGUUUUGUGUGUUUUUGAUGUACUUUAUUUCUUUUAUAACAGGUCAACAUACUGUAAGCUUCAUUCCCUUUAAAGCAGGUAAUCUUCAUAUUGUUUUAAAUGAUAUAUUUCAGGGACUCUGCUUUAACAAUGACUUAGGAUAAUGAUUUGUUAUAGUGUUUGUUAUAAAGCAUAUAAAUGUAUAUUUUACAUUAAGUUUAUUAAACUAAUUAUGAAAAGAAUGUGGUACAACAUGUGUUUAGUUUUUUUAUUGAUAUUUCAGAGUUUUCGUAUGUGAGGUAAUC
Molecule: non-coding RNA, 957 nt
Organism: Misgurnus anguillicaudatus (oriental weatherfish)
Lineage: Eukaryota; Metazoa; Chordata; Actinopteri; Cypriniformes; Cobitidae
Source: RefSeq, a predicted model, not a curated record